UACGGGAGGCAGCAGUGGGGAAUAUUGGACAAUGGGCGAAAGCCUGAUCCAGCCAUGCCGCGUGUGUGAAGAAGGUCUUCGGAUUGUAAAGCACUUUAAGUUGGGAGGAAGGGCUGCUGGUUAAUACCCUGCAGUUUUUGACGUUACCAACAGAAUAAGCACCGGCUAACUUCGUGCCAGCAGCCGCGGUAAUACGAAGGGUGCAAGCGUUAAUCGGAAUUACUGGGCGUAAGGCGCGCGUAGGUGGUUCGUUAAGUUGGAUGUGAAAGCCCCGGGCUCAACCUGGGAACUGCAUCCAAAACUGGCGAGCUAGAGUACGGUAGAGGGUGGUGGAAUUUUCCUGUGUAGCGGUGAAAUGCGUAGAUAUAGGAAGGAACACCAGUGGCGAAGGCGACCACCUGGACUGAUACUGACACUGAGGUGCGAAAGCGUGGGGAGCAAACAGGGAUUAGAUACC
RNAcentral lists this ribosomal RNA (457 nucleotides) under uncultured bacterium. RNAcentral describes it as "bacterial SSU rRNA". It matches the Rfam family "Bacterial small subunit ribosomal RNA", at positions 340 to 786 of the family's 1533-position model. The record is from RNAcentral.